RNAcentral lists this ribosomal RNA (734 nucleotides) under uncultured bacterium. RNAcentral's name for it is "bacterial SSU rRNA". It matches the Rfam family "Bacterial small subunit ribosomal RNA", at positions 398 to 1130 of the family's 1533-position model. The record is from RNAcentral.
CCGGUGUGUGAAGAAGGCCUGAGGGUUGUAAGCACUUUCAAUAGGAAGGAAUACCUAUCGGUUAAUACCCGGUAGACUGACAUUACCUAUACAAGAAGCACCGGCUAACUCCGUGCCAGCAGCCGCGGUAAUACGGAGGGUGCAAGCGUUAAUCGGAAUUACUGGGCGUAAAGCGUGCGUAGGCGGUUAUUUAAGUCAGAUGUGAAAGCCCUGGGCUUAACCUGGGAACUGCAUUUGAUACUGGAUGACUAGAGUUGAGUAGAGGAGAGUGGAAUUUCAGGUGUAGCGGUGAAAUGCGUAGAGAUCUGAAGGAACACCAGUGGCGAAGGCGGCUCUCUGGACUCAAACUGACGCUGAGGUACGAAAGCGUGGGUAGCAAACAGGAUUAGAUACCCUGGUAGUCCACGCCGUAAACGAUGUCAACUAACCGUUGGGUUCUUUAAGAACUUAGUGGUGGAGCUAACGUAUUAAGUUGACCGCCUGGGGAGUACGGCCGCAAGGCUAAAACUCAAAUGAAUUGACGGGGGCCCGCACAAGCGGUGGAGCAUGUGGUUUAAUUCGAUGCAACGCGAAGAACCUUACCUACCCUUGACAUGUAGCGAAUCCUUUAGAGAUAGAGGAGUNGCUUCGGGAACGCUAACACAGGUGCUGCAUGGCUGUCGUCAGCUCGUGUCUUGAGAAGUUGGGGUAAGACCGCGAAGAGGCGAACCUUUCUUUAUUGCCGCGGUAUGCGG